This is a long non-coding RNA of Osmerus eperlanus (European smelt), 409 nucleotides long. RefSeq lists it as uncharacterized. Lineage: Eukaryota; Metazoa; Chordata; Actinopteri; Osmeriformes; Osmeridae. The transcript has 3 exons. The record is from RefSeq and is a predicted model, not a curated record.
CACCAAAUGGAACCUCGUGCAUAACUAAGUUUAAGUGAAUAAACUCACUCUUUAGUAUAAACUUUGAUCGCCCGUAUCAUUGAACUGCACGUUUUCUGUGGCACAGAUUGCAAAAGCAUGUUUCUGAAAGGUGAAUCGGAGGACACAACUUCGGAGUGUGCAAACAGGCGGAGAGUCAAAGUAGAGGACCUAGUACACGUGUCGUCAAACGGGUGUUGGGCUGGUUUCCGUGGGCAGGGGGAGAGCAGGUGGAACGUGGAACACGUUCCACUGGGAGUUCUCCUCUUCCACCUGUGGAACAUCUGUCUUCCGCGGGACGGAGAAGACGACACAAGGAAUUCCCACUUUCACUUGGAGGAAGUGAGGGAUCAUUUGUAAGGUGUGUGUAACAGAGACAGAACACCGGGGG